Molecule: ribosomal RNA, 274 nt
Filed under: uncultured bacterium
Lineage: Bacteria
Description: partial 16S ribosomal RNA
Rfam family: Bacterial small subunit ribosomal RNA
Source: RNAcentral
CUACGGAGGGUGCAAGCGUUAUUCGGAAUCACUGGGCGUAAAGGACGCGUAGGCGGGGUGGCAAGUCAGAUGUGAAAUCCUACAGCUUAACUGUAGAACUGCAUUUGAAACUGCUAACCUUGGGUAUGGGAGGGGGAGAUGGAAUUAGUGGUGUAGGGGUAAAAUCCGUAGAUAUCACUGGGAAUACCGAAAGCGAAGGCGAUCUCCUGGAACAUAACUGACGCUAAGGCGUGAAAGCGUGGGGAGCAAACAGGAUUAGAAACCCUAGUAGUCC